GACGAGCGGAGAAACGGGAGCUUGCUCCCAUUUCUCAGCGGCGGACGGGUGAGUAACACGUGGGCAACCUGCCCUACAGAGUGGGAUAACUCCGGGAAACCGGAGCUAAUACCGGGUAAUACGUAGCACCGCAUGAUGCAACGUUGAAAGUUGGCCUUUGGCUAACACUGUAGGAUGGGCCCGCGGCGCAUUAGCUAGUUGGUAAGGUAACGGCUUACCAAGGCCACGAUGCGUAGCCGACCUGAGAGGGUGAUCGGCCACACUGGGACUGAGACACGGCCCAGACUCCUACGGGAGGCAGCAGUAGGGAAUCUUCCGCAAUGGACGAAAGUCUGACGGAGCAACGCCGCGUGAGUGACGAAGGCCUUCGGGUCGUAAAGCUCUGUUGUUAGGGAAGAACAAGUACCGUUCGAAUAGGGCGGUACCUUGACGGUACCUAACCAGAGAGCCACGGCUAACUACGUGCCAGCAGCCGCGGUAAUACGUAGGUGGCAAGCGUUGUCCGGAAUUAUUGGGCGUAAAGCGCCGCCGCA
RNAcentral lists this ribosomal RNA (533 nucleotides) under uncultured bacterium. Its description in RNAcentral is "bacterial SSU rRNA". It matches the Rfam family "Bacterial small subunit ribosomal RNA", at positions 61 to 573 of the family's 1533-position model. The record is from RNAcentral.